UAUUUUCUCAUUCCUCGUUGAGCAGUAAGCUGAACUAAACUUGUUUGAUCAAACUUCAAUUUUCAAUUGCUAAGCUCUUCAUGAAAUCUUGUAAUCUGCUCGCAAUUUCUAGUUUAGGUGCAGCGCGGUUUGCUUAAUAGGUGAUCUUGAUUGCUUCUCUAUUCUGUGUUCAUUUAGGAUCUUCUCAAUGCAGAUGUGAAAACAUGUCUCGUUUUGAUCUUUAUUUGUUUGUUAUGUUUGCAAUGCUCAAAUGUAUUUAUUGUAGCUGUUCCUCGUUGUAAUUGCUAUCUGUGGAGCUGGCUUUGUAUCAUCAUUAGGCGAAGACUUUUAAUGGUGGCAUUCUCUAAUCAGAAACCUAGUGACUUGGGUUUUUUCUUUUUUGGUUUUGCAAGUGCUGGAUCCCUUCAGACUUUGAGGAUGCCAAGAAGCGAAAUAAGUGAUUCAAUUGUUGAACAGAUUGCUGGAAGACUUUCAACAAUCACUUUCUUGGA
This 491-nucleotide unclassified non-coding RNA is filed under the name Hevea brasiliensis (rubber tree). Lineage: Eukaryota; Viridiplantae; Streptophyta; Magnoliopsida; Malpighiales; Euphorbiaceae. The record is from RNAcentral.